CCUACGGGUGGCAGCAGUGAGGAAUAUUGGUCAAUGGACGAAAGACUGAACCAGCCAAGUAGCGUGAAGGAUGACUGCCCUAUGGGUUGUAAACUUCUUUUAACAGGGAAGAAUAGAAGACGGUACCUGUCGAAUAAGCCACGGCUAACUACGUGCCAGCAGCAGCGGUAAUACGUAGGUGGCAAGCGUUGUCCGGGUUUACUGGGUGUAAAGGGCGUGUAGCCGGGUUGACAAGUCAGAUGUGAAAUGCUGCGGCUUAACCGUAGAACUGCAUUUGAAACUGGUUAUCUUGAGUACUGGGGAGGUAGACGGAAUUCCUAGUGUAGCGGUGAAAUGCGUAGAUAUUAGGAGGAACACCAGUGGCGAAGGCGGUAUGCUGGAGAGCAACUGACGGUGAGGCGCGAAGGCGUGGGGAGCAAACAGGAUUAGAUACCCGUGUAGUC
This 443-nucleotide ribosomal RNA is filed under the name uncultured bacterium. RNAcentral describes it as "partial 16S ribosomal RNA". It matches the Rfam family "Bacterial small subunit ribosomal RNA", at positions 338 to 795 of the family's 1533-position model. The record is from RNAcentral.